Molecule: non-coding RNA, 210 nt
Organism: Vicia faba (fava bean)
Lineage: Eukaryota; Viridiplantae; Streptophyta; Magnoliopsida; Fabales; Fabaceae
Source: the annotation of a GenBank genome assembly
AUGAUUGCCGAGUGGAGUGUUGAGUGGAAGCCUUGUGUUUCCAACUUUCUUCCUCUGUUUCCUUUCAAUCGUAUUGAAUUUACUUCUCUGUUUUACAGGCUUGGAGGAACAUUGUUGUUAUGUGUAAUAUUCGGUCUUCAAUUUGUGAAUAGGAAUCAAGGUUUGGCUAUUGGUUAUUGGCCAUGGAUGAUGCGAAUUAGAAGGUGGUGA